UGAGGAGAGAGAAAGUUGAGUGGAAGAUGAGUAAUAUGACGUGACGCGAAGGUGGCACAAAAAAUGGAGGAAGAUUCCUCAAUCGGUGGCUCUCCACCUAAGGUAGCAGUGGCACAUCGCCCAAAGUGGCGCACGGUUCCCAAGAGGUGGAGGCACACUGCCCGAGGUGGCAGUACGCCUCCCCAAGAUGGCCACACACUGUAAGCACCAGCAUAUCCUACCGAGCGCAAGGCCUACAGCAUGCAGGGUGCUGCAAGUAGGCCUACUGUGCGGAUGGCGCGUGCACAGGGUGCACAGCACUUGGCCCUGUCCCUGCGUGAUGUGACACGAGCGGACUGGCCUGUCUAUGUGGGAUGGGACGCGCACGCAAACUUGCCCUGCACCCUGCAUGAAUGAGAUGUUCACAUAGUGCGCACAUCCCACAUUGGCUGCAUG
RNAcentral lists this long non-coding RNA (435 nucleotides) under Carica papaya (papaya). RNAcentral describes it as "long non-coding RNA (CPAP_LNC013140)". Lineage: Eukaryota; Viridiplantae; Streptophyta; Magnoliopsida; Brassicales; Caricaceae. The record is from RNAcentral.